GAUUCGGGGAAGAUCUACUCUUGGGGGAGUGGGCAAGAGGGACAGCUGGGACAUGGCGACAGCAGAACCCGGGUGUCCAGGCCCUGUCUCCUGGGCUCUCCUCACCUGGAGGGAGGAGUACGGCGCGUGGGGGCAGGGGACAGCUACAGCUCAGCCGUCGCCGCAGAUGGGGAGCUGGUUUUAUGGGGUCGGAUCCCCAGUCUGUCCGGGGACGCUGACCGUAAGGUCUUCCAGAGACUCUGGAGCCCACAACCCGUCCCACUGGAAGGCAUGAAGGUGUUGGAGGUAGCCUGCGGUACCUGGCACAUGAUGGCUCUGGUGACAGGGGGCCAAGGGACGAAGAGAGAAUAUGCUGUUCCAAAAGGGAGAAGCUGCAUCAAAAAUACCAUGUGCAGUCUUCUACUAGCAUCUUCUACCUCCCUACCAACAUCUACUAACCCCCUACCAAACACUACUAACCCCCAACCACAAUCUACUAACCCCUGUCCAACAUAUACUAACCCCCUACCAACAUCAAACCCACUUCCAACAUCUACUAACCCCCUUCCAACAUCUACUAACCCCUUUCCAACAUCUACUAACCCCUUUCCAACAUCUACUAACCCCCUUCCAACAUCUACUAACCCCUUUCCAACAUCUACUAACCCCUUUCCAACAUCUACUAACCCCCUUCCAACAUCUACUAACCUCUUUCCAACAUCUACUAACCCCUGUCCAACAUCUCCACAUCCUGCAGUCUUUGAACAGGAAGCCCAAACCAAGACCCAGCCGGCUUGUUUGGGCAGUGGUCCUCAGGUAGCCCCCCACCUCUACGAAGACGGAGUACGUGCUCAUUCCCUGCCCGCCCGAGUGGACCCCAGACCCGUCCUGGCUCAAGACACACUGCACCGGGGGGGGAGGAGACAAGGGCCCCCCCGGGGCCCCGACCGAGACAGACGGAGAAGGAGUGCGAAAGAAGGCGGAGAGGAUGACGAUGAAGAAGAUGAAGAAGAUGAAGGAGAAGGAGUGGAAAGAGAGAAAGGAGGGAGGGAUACGGGCCUCGCCGCGGCGGGGUCUCCGACGGAGAAGGACGGGACAGGAAAUGGGCGCUCAUCAAUCAAAUCCGACAGGGC
Molecule: long non-coding RNA, 1112 nt
Organism: Gadus morhua (Atlantic cod)
Lineage: Eukaryota; Metazoa; Chordata; Actinopteri; Gadiformes; Gadidae
Exons: 6
Source: RefSeq, a predicted model, not a curated record